UACGUAGGGUGCGAGCGUUAAUCGGAAUUACUGGGCGUAAAGUGUGCGCAGGCGGCAGAGCAAGUCGAGUGUGAAAGCCCCGGGCUUAACUUGGGGAUUGCGCUCGAAACUACUUUGCUGGAGUGUGGCAGAGGAAGGUGGAAUUCCACGUGUAGCGGUGAAAUGCGUAGAGAUGUGGAGGAACACCAAUGGCGAAGGCAGCCUUCUGGGCCAACACUGACGCUCAUGCACGAAAGCGUGGGGAGCAAACAGG
Molecule: ribosomal RNA, 253 nt
Filed under: uncultured bacterium
Lineage: Bacteria
Description: partial 16S ribosomal RNA
Rfam family: Bacterial small subunit ribosomal RNA
Source: RNAcentral